GCCCCCUUAGCUCAGCGGCCAGAGCGCUCGCCUUGUAAGCGAGUGGUCGAGGGUUCGACUCCCUCAGGGGGCU
This 73-nucleotide transfer RNA is filed under the name Tessaracoccus lapidicaptus. It matches the Rfam family "tRNA". From Rfam's summary of the family: Transfer RNA (tRNA) molecules are approximately 80 nucleotides in length. Their secondary structure includes four short double-helical elements and three loops (D, anti-codon, and T loops). Lineage: Bacteria; Bacillati; Actinomycetota; Actinomycetes; Propionibacteriales; Propionibacteriaceae. The record is from Rfam by way of RNAcentral.